RNAcentral lists this transfer RNA (71 nucleotides) under Cordylochernes scorpioides. RNAcentral's name for it is "tRNA-Gly". Lineage: Eukaryota; Metazoa; Arthropoda; Arachnida; Pseudoscorpiones; Chernetidae. The record is from RNAcentral.
UGCAUCGGCCGGGAAUCGAACCCGGGCCGGCCGCGUGGCAAGCAAGCAUUCUAACACUGCACCACCGAUGG